Molecule: ribosomal RNA, 465 nt
Filed under: uncultured bacterium
Lineage: Bacteria
Description: partial 16S ribosomal RNA
Rfam family: Bacterial small subunit ribosomal RNA
Source: RNAcentral
GACGAACGCUGGCGGCGUGCUUAGCACAUGCAAGUCGAACGGAAAGGCCCUGCUUGCAGGGUACUCGAGUGGCGAACGGGUGAGUAACACGUGGGUGAUCUGCCCUGCACUUCGGGAUAAGCCUGGGAAACUGGGUCUAAUACCGGAUAGGAGCCAUUUUUAGUGUGAUGGUUGGAAAGUUUUUUCGGUGUAGGAUGAGCUCGCGGCCUAUCAGCUUGUUGGUGGGGUAAUGGCCUACCAAGGCGGCGACGGGUAGCCGGCCUGAGAGGGUGGACGGCCACAUUGGGACUGAGAUACGGCCCAGACUCCUACGGGAGGCAGCAGUGGGGAAUAUUGCACAAUGGGCGCAAGCCUGAUGCAGCGACGCCGCGUGGGGGAUGACGGCCUUCGGGGUGUAAACUCCUUUCGCUAGGGACGAAGCUUUUUGUGACGGUACCUAGAUAAGAAGCACCGGCUAACUACGUG